RNAcentral lists this ribosomal RNA (180 nucleotides) under uncultured Streptococcus sp. Its description in RNAcentral is "partial 16S ribosomal RNA". It matches the Rfam family "Bacterial small subunit ribosomal RNA", at positions 1205 to 1382 of the family's 1533-position model. The record is from RNAcentral. Lineage: Bacteria; Bacillati; Bacillota; Bacilli; Lactobacillales; Streptococcaceae.
UGACCUGGGCUACACACGUGCGUACAAUAGGUUGGUACAACGAGUUGCGAGUCGGUGACGGCGAGCUAAUCUCUUAAAGCCAAUCUCAGUUCGGAUUGUAGGCUGCAACUCGCCUACAUGAAGUCGGAAUCGCUAGUAAUCGCGGAUCAGCACGCCGCGGUGAAUACGUUCCCGGGCCUU